Molecule: non-coding RNA, 1281 nt
Organism: Cinara cedri
Lineage: Eukaryota; Metazoa; Arthropoda; Insecta; Hemiptera; Aphididae
Source: the annotation of a GenBank genome assembly
GUAUAUAAAAACAGUCUUCUAAAAAAAAAGAAGCGGUUGAGAAUAAAAAUGUCAUUUAUUGUUGUAUGUAUGUAUGUAUAAUAUAUACCGGGAUAAAGCCAAAUAAUCCCACUCGUGGUUCUUUUUCCAUCGCUCGGAUAAAUUUCUUUCUUUAUAACAUGAAGAUUUUGUCUGAUCGGAAUUAGUGUGAUGGCAGGUAAGGACAUACAAAAAUGUGUUACAUUUUUCAUGGCGCGUUCGAAAUAUUGAACAUUUUUAACUUUUUUUAUUUCCAUAAACAUCAUAAUAUUAUCCUUUAAAGAGUAUUUCGACGAGGUCCUCGUAGACGUGCAAAUAUUACAUUAUUACCAAUCUAUAUCUUUAUAAACAGGAACAACGCGCCAAUAAAAUUAUUCACGCUUAAAAAUGUUUAAAUUCUAUGCACAGCAAGAAAUGUUUUGGUUGUUUGUUUACGACUUUUCUGUGGGAAUUUUCGAUAAUCUAAUUUUCAAGUGUAGCGUAGUUCCUAAAAGAAAAUUGUACAUAAUUGGUAUAUUAAGAAACCAUUUUUUAUUUUUCUUGGCAAUCGAAUAAAAAGUGAAAAAUUAGGGUAUUAACGGUUUAUUAUUUCCGGUUUUUUUUUUUUUUUUUUAGUCUUAGCAAUUUUUCUGCUAGAAAUUUUGCUCCAAUCAAAAAAUUACAAGAUACCUUUUCAGUUGUAUUUUGAAUUUAGUUGGUACCAUUUACGCCGAUACUUAGUGAAAAUAUACAACGAAAAAUAAAUAUAAGAACCAAAAAUGUCAUUAGGUAAACUUCAAUGAACGCCGUCUGGCGUCACUGCACCUUGCAUGGAAUAUGUUUAAAGUUUGAUGAAAAAAGUAAAAAUCGCGGCAUUUUGAACUAUGUUAAACCAAACUUCGCUCAGAAUCGGUUUUCGUUAGGAAUGGUUUAUCUAUUGUUGCAUAUUGAUAAAAAUUAAAUUACCCCAUAUCUCAAUGUUCCUAUUAGCCACUAUAGCGUCGUAUUGCGAAUAAUGAACUGCACGUAGAUGUUAUCGCGAUAUAUUAACAACGGUGUUAGUUUAUAUUCAUGCGGAAAUUAAUAUUUUAACUAACAGGCUGCAACUGUAUGUUUGAAUACGCAGCCUAAGCGAGCUCGGUCUAAUUUUGGCACUGCAUGUAUAACAUGAAAUUUCAUUAAAAAUUCAACAUAUAAAUAUUGUAUAACAUUCGCCGGUUUUAUUGUGCGUUUCAAUCGAAAAGACAUAUUAUAAUGUAAAGGUCUGUGCACUGUCUGUCCUAU